This 253-nucleotide ribosomal RNA is filed under the name uncultured bacterium. RNAcentral's name for it is "partial 16S ribosomal RNA". It matches the Rfam family "Bacterial small subunit ribosomal RNA", at positions 524 to 776 of the family's 1533-position model. The record is from RNAcentral.
UACGGGGGAGCAAGCGUUGUUCGGAUUUACUGGGCGUAAAGGGCGCGUUGGCGGUCGUGACAAGUCACUUGUGAAAUCUCCGGGCUUAACUCGGAACGGUCAAGUGAUACUGUCGGACUAGAGUACAGAAGGGGCAACUGGAAUUCUCGGUGUAGCGGUGAAGUGCGUAGAUAUCGAGAGGAACACCGGAGGUGAAGACGGGUUGCUGGGCUGACACUGACGCUGAGGCGCGAAAGCCAGGGGAGCAAACGGG